Molecule: small RNA, 1709 nt
Filed under: Pongo abelii (Sumatran orangutan)
Lineage: Eukaryota; Metazoa; Chordata; Mammalia; Primates; Hominidae
Description: processed transcript
Source: RNAcentral
AACAUUUUGCAGGUAGUUAUUUUCCUGCUAGAACUUACUUAGGUGUGCUGGGGGAUAAAUGGAUAUUUAUUUACUAGAAUACAUCUAGUAAUCUCAGUACUGCAGGGGGUGGCAAAGGGAGGAGAAUAGAAGCUGGAUAGCUAAGGUUAUUGCUGACAUGGAGGCCCAGGUUCAUAAGUUGAGAGAAGAACUGAUCAAUGUGAACUCACAGCGGAAACAGCAGCUGGUAGAGCUUGGUCUUCUUCGUGAAGAGGAAAAGCAAAGGGCUACAAGGGAACAUGAGAUUGUCGUCAAUAAACUGAAGGCUGAAUCAGAAAAGAUGAAAAUAGAGCUGAAAAAGACUCAUGCUGCUGAGACAGAGAUGACACUGGAAAAGAUAAAUAUCAACAAAGUUGUGUCUGGGCUUGGGUGGCAAGUGUAUGACUCCAAAUGUUAUGCUGCUCCAGCAGAACCAGUCACUCUUGUGGAAGCCAAGGAAUGGGAACAGAAGAAUAUGAAAUCAGUGGCCAACAGCAGGCUGAAGCAGAUUGAGAAGGAAUACACUCAGAAGCUUGCCAAAUCUUCACAGAUCAUAGCAGAACUUCAGACAACCAUUUCCUCUCUGAAAGAAGAGAACAGCCAGCAGCAGCUUGCUGCAGAAAGGCGGCUCCAGGAUGUUAGACAAAAGUUUGAAGAUGAGAAGAAGCAGCUGAUUAGAGAUAAUGACCAAGCAAUCAAGGUUUUGCAGGAUGAAUUAGAAAACCGUUCUAAUCAGGUGCGAUGUGCAGAGAAAAAAUUACAACACAAAGAAUUGGAGUCACAGGAACAGGUACCCUCUUCUUUACUAUUUGACUCUCUUGUUUACUUUCUCUAGGUUAAGAAGUGUGUGUAGCCAGGUGCAGUGGCUCACACCUGUAAUCUCAGCACUUUGGGAGGCCGAGGUGGGUGGAUCACCUGAAGUCAGGAGUUCGAGACAAGCCUGGCCAACAUGGUGAAACCCUGUCUCUACUAAAAAUACAAAAAUUAACUUGGUCUGGUGAUGGGUACCUGUAAUCCUAGUUACUUGGGAGGCUGAGGCAGGAGAAUUACUUGAACCCGGGAGGCAGAGGUUGCGGUGAGCCGAGAUCGCACCAUUGCACUCCAGCCUGGGUGACAAGAACAAAACUCCGUCUCAAAAAAAAAAAAACAAGUUUACGCAUUGCCUGUUUCAGUUAAGAUGCUUUGAGUGCAAGCAACAGAAUAUCCCACCCAUGGUUGACAUAAAAAAUAAAGCAAUUUACUACGUCACAGAACAAGAAGUCCACAAGUAAAGCAUUCUCAUGACUCUGCCUCCGGUGCUGGCUUCAUUCUAGAAGCAACUUCAGGACGGCUGCAGCAGUGCCAGCCAUUCUGCCCAGAUCUGCACUAUUCGGAGGCAGAAAGGGGCUGCCAGUUUCUAGGGCCUAAUGAGUAAGGAAAUCUUUCCCGGAAACUACCCCCUCCCUUUACAUGUCAUUGGCCAGAGAAGGUCACAUGCUUAGCCUGGCAUACCCAGUCCCUGGCUAAACAACUGAGUAUACAAAACUAGUCUAGAAUAAUCAGGACCCACCUGCUGGUGAUAAAACUGGGAGAAGAAGGAAAACUGGAACAAAAAGGAGGGGAAAUGGAGUGUUGAGUAUGCAGCCAACAGUGUCUGCUAUGUCAUCGUUUCAAAAUAAAUGGAUGUUAUUUUGCUUAGAGGCAUAAAUCAC